RNAcentral lists this ribosomal RNA (391 nucleotides) under Sinorhizobium medicae. Its description in RNAcentral is "bacterial SSU rRNA". It matches the Rfam family "Bacterial small subunit ribosomal RNA", at positions 20 to 441 of the family's 1533-position model. Lineage: Bacteria; Pseudomonadati; Pseudomonadota; Alphaproteobacteria; Hyphomicrobiales; Rhizobiaceae. The record is from RNAcentral.
UGGCUCAGAACGAACGCUGGCGGCAGGCUUAACACAUGCAAGUCGAGCGCCCCGCAAGGGGAGCGGCAGACGGGUGAGUAACGCGUGGGAAUCUACCCUUUUCUACGGAAUAACGCAGGGAAACUUGUGCUAAUACCGUAUAAGCCCUUCGGGGGAAAGAUUUAUCGGGAAAGGAUGAGCCCGCGUUGGAUUAGCUAGUUGGUGGGGUAAAGGCCUACCAAGGCGACGAUCCAUAGCUGGUCUGAGAGGAUGAUCAGCCACAUUGGGACUGAGACACGGCCCAAACUCCUACGGGAGGCAGCAGUGGGGAAUAUUGGACAAUGGGCGCAAGCCUGAUCCAGCCAUGCCGCGUGAGUGAUGAAGGCCCUAGGGUUGUAAAGCUCUUUCACCG